Molecule: long non-coding RNA, 364 nt
Organism: Pseudophryne corroboree (corroboree frog)
Lineage: Eukaryota; Metazoa; Chordata; Amphibia; Anura; Myobatrachidae
Exons: 2
Source: RefSeq, a predicted model, not a curated record
AGCCCAGCCACAGCAAUUCAGGGAGCCCCGCUCCCCAAACUCAUUACUAAAAUGGACAAAUCCGCUAUAUGACCACCAUCUUAAAAUGGAACCUGUUUUUUGGUGGAGAUGUGGAAGGUCUGUACCUAUAUUGGAGGACACAUUGGGACAAUAAAAGCGUUCUUAUAAGCUGGCCACAGACCAACUUUCCUCCAACCCCUACAACUGACCAACCGUCCAACUUUUCUCUCCAACUAAAACGAUGCUCCACACACCUAACCAACUGUUUCAUUAGUCCAGCCAAUUUCUGACAAAUGUGUGAUGCUACAGAAGUAGGCGGACAGUGUUUUUAAAUAAAUAAAUAAAUGUUUGUUAAAAUGUUGAA